CGACCGGCGCACGGGUGCGUAACGCGUAUGCAACCUACCUUUAACAGGGGGAGUAACACUGAGAAAUUGGUACUAAUACCCCAUAAUAUCAUAGAAGGCAUCUUUUAUGGUUGAAAAUUCCGAUGGUUAGAGAUGGGCAUGCGUUGUAUUAGCUAGUUGGUGGGGUAACGGCUCACCAAGGCGACGAUACAUAGGGGGACUGAGAGGUUAACCCCCCACACUGGUACUGAGACACGGCCAG
Molecule: ribosomal RNA, 241 nt
Filed under: uncultured bacterium
Lineage: Bacteria
Description: partial 16S ribosomal RNA
Rfam family: Bacterial small subunit ribosomal RNA
Source: RNAcentral